CUUUGCGCUCUGACUGAAUAAUGUAUUUUCGUCCCUGAGCCAGCCUCAGGGAAACAGCCUAAGUUACAGUACACAACAAAAGCCAACAUUUCACCUGCGUGCCCAACUGGAGACCUGCAACCACAACACAACAACCUGAAGUCGUUUACUGCAGGAAAUGUGCGUAAUUACGCACGGAACUGAAGGAAUUUAGCGACCAGACGGUGCGUUUAGGCUGUCCUCCGAGGGUUUCUCAUUUUACAGAAGCGAUAUAUAUGCACGACGUCAUCAGUGCAGGCACAGUCAGUCCUCACCUCUUAACUUUGAGCUCACAGUCCUCUGUGUGCACAGGGCAGGAUGGGAUGCUCCACCAGUACCCAAACUUCAGCGGUAGAUACGACUCGACCAAGCGCUAAGCUCGAGGAGAGCAACGGAGCCAGCACUACAGGAGCGGCCAAUGAAAAUGGGAAUGUAGCUGAGGACAGUGAAACUAUUCCAGACCAGACACCUGCUGAGGGAAGCGAUGCCAAGCCUGGAGAUGAGCCUGCUGAAGAGCCUGCCGUGACAGCCGCGUCUGCAGACACCACAGCUGCAACUCCACCAGCAGCAGAAGAGUCUCAGGAUGCAGCCAGCAGCCCGCCCGCUGAGACUUCAGCAGCAGCAGGAGACAGCACCGCUGAGACAGCAGCAAGCUCCUCAGAGGCUGAAGCUCCUGCCCCAGAGCCAGGUAGGCGGGAGUCACAAACAGGAAUGAGGUUAAAUACUCACAAAAGGCCUUUUACUACAUAUAUUCUUAGAAUCUGUAAUGUUUUAAUGUUUUAUUUUGAAUUCUUCUGCACAUGACAACACCACUGUAUCUUCAGUCUGAGCUUAUAAACAUGCACAUUAUAAAUGCACGUUGUAAUUCAUGCAAAGGUGAACAUUUAUGGGAAUCGCUGCUCACAUCCUCGUGAAACGUAUCGGGCAGACAAGGACAAGAACCUGUGUGUGCGUGCAUAAGUUGGGUUACUUAAAAUGACACUUCAGAACAUUUGGAGUGGAAGAUUUUCUCUCUUGACACCUCUUGAACAAGUUACCACAGUAGUCGCAUAAUUAAUGUGUCCAAACAAGUGAUGGAUAAAAUGUACAACAGUAACCUGAGCGGUGCUAUUCCACCUCAACAUGGGAUGCCGCAGUACAAAGGUACGUAAUGUCUCUUCCGUUUUUAGUUCCUCCGCAACUGUAGUAACUACGCAGUAUCCAACAACACACUGGCAUGACUUUGGCCUCUAAUGAACACACCGGGGUGGCCACAAGAAUGCGUUUCCAGGUCACACCUAUGAUCAGUACCUAUUAAAGGAUCUGUCUGCAUAUUGCACAAGCUUAACUGAUCAGGUUAAAUUUUCGUAUGAAUUCUUUUAAUUACACGCUUUUGUGUAGUCGUGGAUUAGACUACUUGUUGAAGUUUCACUGACUGAAACACACACAAAGCGUGAUGUUGUUGAGGGUUUACCUUGUAAAAUGUAACAUUUAUUAAAACCUGGCAGCUGUCAUUAAGGGAUUUGACAUUUUGAUAGAGGAUAAAAAAUAGCUGAUAGCUUUUGUUUGGCCAAAAGCAUUGAGGAUAUUUGUGUGAUUUAAACUUGGAAAUAAAGCAUUUGUUGUGUUUGCUUUGCCUCCCAGCCCUCUGCUGUGAGUAGGACUCUAAAUUAGAAAUUUCUGCUGUAACUUCCAAGACAGCACCUCAGCAGGCUCUUCAGACCUGCAUUGUGAUAAUAGCUCUGCAUGCCUGUCCGCCAGCGAUCAUCUAUACAUGGAAGCGCUCUGUAGGAAGCUGCAUGACAAGAGCAGCAUUGCACUCACUGCUAUCACAAAGUUACUUCGUGAUGCAAAUGACGAGCAGGUAGCAAAUGAUGAUGAGGUCAACUUCAUUUUCCUCUUUUUCUGAUGCAAAGUGUUCAUUGCAGUAAAGCGGGCCGAGCAGGGUGGCAGGUUAAACAUCAAACACCAAACUUUUUAGAGGUUUUAGCUUCUAUGAGACUCGAUGCUGCUGUAGUGGGCGAAAUUAAGUGAAUGUUGCUUAUUUAUAAAAAUGUAUUCUUGUGUCUUCAGUCUAAGAUCUGUGAUGAUUCUUGGAGUAAUUUUUAGCCACAAAAUAGAAGCAUGAAUGCCCAUGUCUCAGAGCAAUGCUGAAAAACUGUUUUAUGCAUGUGCUACUUUCAGACUUGACUAUUGGAUUUCCUUUUCCUUAUCAGGUUUUCCUAAAAUUUCCCUGAAAAGCCUCCAGUUGAUCCAAAACACUGCAGUGAGAGCGCUAACAGGGACUAGAAAGAGAGAGCAUGUUUUUCCCAUAUUGGCUUUUUUUCACUGGCUCCCUUUUUAAUCCAGACUUGAAUUUAAAACCCGUCUCCUCACAUGCAAAAUCAUGAAUAAUCAGGCCCCAUCAAAUGUUAAAGACCUCACUUUGUUCUCCGCCUGCUGGCUUACUUGUGUUUAAUAGAGUUUCCUAGAGCUGUCAGGGUUUAGGAGACAGAUAGUCGCUCUACUUUUAAAAUUAAUUUUAAAAAUUUCCCUUGUGAUAAAGUUUAUUCUUAGACUUACAUUCAUAGUCCUAGACUAUAGUGAUAUUUUUACAAUUCAGAUUGUCUAAACACUCUGACGGUAACUGGAAAGAGAGACAAUAUUAGCGUCUCCAGAUCCAAAGCACUGAUUGCUUAGUCCCCAUCAUGACUAUAGACCUCAUACAGCCAUAUUAUCCCAACAGAGCACUUUGCUCUCAGACUGUAGGCUUCCUAGAGUUUCCAAAAGUGGAAUAAAAAUUGUACAAAAAAUAUUCAUGAAGUAAUGCUACCAUAAAAUCUUCAUGGAUGUGUCUCACAGAUUAACUGUUCAUCAUUUAAUCAUUAUAGUUAGAAAAUCAUGAUCUUCACCCCCUGCGCCAUCCAACUUCACUCACUUUGAGUUCAAAUAUGGCCACAGCCCUGUGUAGAGAUGCUGGAUGGAGCAUGUGUUUGUGUUGCCAACACUUUGUUGUCACUGUGGUAUCAUUAAGAUGCAAUCUGAGUCCACAUAGAAACUAGAGCGUUCCAACACAUAUAGGGCUUCCACCAGCGACGAGCGAUGUCGGGACGGCUGAGCCUCCACGCCUCCAUUUCACAGCCAGUGGAGAGAGAGGAUCGAGUGUCACAUAAGCAGAGCUGACAGAGCGGCUCGUCCACCUCUGACGCAGCUACAGGUUGUUUUUAAGGAACGACUUGCUGGAAAUCUGCUAUUCCUAGUUCUGCAAUAUAAGUUUUAACACCUUCAGAUUAAAGGUGUUUGCAUGGAGAUUAAUUUCCUUUUCUGUUUGGGAGGGAGGCUUUAGUUCAAGUUCAUGCAAAAUCUGCACUUCAGACUACAACAAUACUUUGGGAGUGUGCUGUAACACAGUCAGAUGUUUUGUUUGUUUGCAUGCAAACAUGCUAACACUUCAACUCGGUUCUGGUUAUUGUGUUCAUUAUGCUGCAAGCUGGAAAUCUGACAGGAUUAGAGUGCUAAAACAUUUGAAAGGGGGUGAUUUAUGUUCACAGUUUUUCUAGCUCUAUGUUUAUAUUUUUAACUCUAAACUACAAUAGCUUAGCACGUCUUAGUCUGUCGCAAGGUCAGUUACUACAUGUCUUCCUCCCAGUUUUCCUUUCUUCUUUCCACUGUCCAGUCAAAAUAUGGGCUUUAAAUAAAUAUAUUUUAAAAAUGUAAUCAUAAGGCAACCGAGAAUGCUGGCAGCAAGUAUCCUAACAGUCCAUCGAGCUGUUUCACAUUUCUGACUUGGUGAAAGAGACAAAAUACCACAAACCUGGAAAAAUACACUCAUCUUUGUUCUUCUGCUUGAACCCACCACACCUGGACAGGUGGCCAGUCUGUCAUAGGGCUAAUAAACCUCACAUAACAUAACCUGAUACCUUAAACAAACUGAUCUAAAAUGUGUGUGUGUGGUGCAGUAACACUGGGGACAAGUGUUUUCAGGAGAGUUUGUACCAGCUGUGUGGACAGAGGAGGACAGUAGUGUUUGGUCAGCACCUAAAGGCCAAAAUAAGAAGAACACAGCUUAAAUAUGACGGCUUGUUCGUGUCUUAAUUUGCUGUCUUUCUAAACAGAAAAAGGGGAUGCCGGAGCGACUGACUCAGAGCCCAAAACAGACGAGACACCUGCUCCCAGUGAGUGACGUGCGACAUGACCGACUGCACAGAGGAGUUUAUCUGCACGCAUGAGUGAAAGUAUGUCCGUGUGUGUGUGUGUGUGUGUGUAUGAGAAAGAAAGACAUUGUCUUGUUGCCAAGAUCCAGACCCCGUGGAAACCACUUUGAGUCCGGGUGCUCAGUCACCACUGUGCCUUCUUCCUCCUCCUGGAUGUCUGCAGUCUCUCCUCUUUGACUGUGAAUAGAGUUCAACAGCACUUAGGUUUCUUUAUCUGUAACAGGUAGUAAACAGCUGAGAGAAGCUUAGAUUACUAUUUAUUAUCUGUAAUGAAAUAGCACCAUAAACUGUAUGUCCUUAACUUAUUCUUGAAACCUAAGAGUUUGUUUCUGUGAAAACGAAAGCCAAAGUAUAUUAGAUAUUAGAAGAUAUUAUAUUUCUUUUUUGGGGGGUGAGGGGUAGCUAGCUUUGAUUUUAUUAUCAUAUUUAAAGUAGGCGUAAAUCUAAGAGGGUUUUUUCCUGAUGUGUCAUGAUUUUUAGUAUUCCCAAAAAUCUGUAAUUAGCAAUAAGCUGUUGAAAAAUUAAAAAGAUCUUAAAAUAAAACCGAGUACACAUAUUCUCUGUGUUUUAAUUCGAUGCAGGAUGAAAGCAAACAUGUCACACUGUGAUACAGCAUUUUUUUUUUUUUUUUAAUGAGUGAAAUUAUCAAACCAGAAGCCAAGAGGAGGUUCAGAUGAUGUUGGGGCUUUUCCAUCUGAGUGUCCAGUCCCACUGGAUCCCUACUCUUUGUUUAAUGAGCAGCCUCUGAGGUGUUAACAACUGAAUGUGUGGACAUCUAUGAAUGUCCACACAGUCUCCAACAUUUCUGUGGACUUUGUUUACUUAUAAUUUUGGGUGUAAUGAAAAAAACGCGUCAAAUUUUUCCAGCAAAAUUCCCUCCGCAAC
Astatotilapia calliptera (eastern happy) is the source of this 5075-nucleotide long non-coding RNA. NCBI's taxonomy places the organism in Eukaryota, Metazoa, Chordata, Actinopteri, Cichliformes, Cichlidae. The record is from Ensembl.